CCGGCUACGGAUGGCCAUGCGGCGCAUUAGCUAGUUGGCGGGGUAACGGCCCACCAAGGCGACGAUGCGUAGGGGUUCUGAGAGGAAGGUCCCCCACACUGGUACUGAGACACGGACCAGACUCCUACGGGAGGCAGCAGUGAGGAAUAUUGGUCAAUGGGCGCGAGCCUGAACCAGCCAAGUCGCGUGAGGGAAGACGGUCCUAUGGAUUGUAAACCUCUUUUGUCGGGGAGCAAAAGGCGCCACGUGUGGCGUUCCGAGAGUACCCGAAGAAAAAGCAUCGGCUAACUCCGUGCCAGCAGCCGCGGUAAUACGGAGGAUGCGAGCGUUAUCCGGAUUUAUUGGGUUUAAAGGGUGCGCAGGCGGAAGAUCAAGUCAGCGGUAAAAUUGAGAGGCUCAACCUCUUCGAGCCGUUGAAACUGGUUUUCUUGAGUGAGCGAGAAGUAUGCGGAAUGCGUGGUGUAGCGGUGAAAUGCAUAGAUAUCACGCAGAACUCCGAUUGCGAAGGCAGCAUACCGGCGCUCAACUGACGCUCAUGCACGAAAGUGUGGGUAUCGAACAGGAUUAGAUACCCUGGUAGUCCACACAGUAAACGAUGAAUACUAAUUGUUCGGGGAGAAUGAUCCCUGA
RNAcentral lists this ribosomal RNA (630 nucleotides) under uncultured bacterium. RNAcentral describes it as "bacterial SSU rRNA". It matches the Rfam family "Bacterial small subunit ribosomal RNA", at positions 215 to 842 of the family's 1533-position model. The record is from RNAcentral.